RNAcentral lists this ribosomal RNA (200 nucleotides) under uncultured bacterium. RNAcentral's name for it is "partial 16S ribosomal RNA". It matches the Rfam family "Bacterial small subunit ribosomal RNA", at positions 524 to 723 of the family's 1533-position model. The record is from RNAcentral.
UACGUAGGGCGCAAGCGUUGUCCGGAAUUAUUGGGCGUAAAGAGCUCGUAGGCGGCCAGUUGCGUCUGCUGUGAAAUCCCGGGGCUCAACCCCGGGCGUGCAGUGGAUACGGGCUGGCUAGAGGCAGGCAGGGGAGAACGGAAUUCCCGGUGUAGCGGUGAAAUGCGCAGAUAUCGGGAGGAACACCGGUGGCGAAGGCG